Molecule: long non-coding RNA, 1136 nt
Filed under: Theobroma cacao (cacao)
Lineage: Eukaryota; Viridiplantae; Streptophyta; Magnoliopsida; Malvales; Malvaceae
Description: long non-coding RNA (TCAC_LNC004101)
Source: RNAcentral
UUCAGUGGGAACUCUACAGUUGGAGCACUGGGAAAGAGGCCAGGGCUGGAUUGUUGAUUGGGAAGCACCGCAAAAUCCGUGCGAUGUCUAUGGAGUCUGCGGAUCAUUUGGAGUUUGCAGCCCAUCUGAAUCUCCCAUUUGCAGCUGCUUAAGAGGAUUUACACCAAAGUCAGAUGAAGAAUGGAGCAGAGGAAACUGGACAGGGGGUUGCAUGAGACGAACCAAUUUAUCUUGCGAAGAAAACACAAGUUCCAAACCCACAAACACCGGAAAAGCAGAUAGAUUUUGGACAAUGGAUAGGAUGAAACUUCCAGAUCUUUCUGAGUAUUUGGAAAUCGACAACGACCUAUGCCAAGAAUGGUGCAUGAAUAACUGUUCCUGCAUGGGUUAUGCAAUUGUAUAUGGAAUUGGGUGUCUGGUCUGGACUGGAAACAUUACAGACAUGCAAAAGUUCCCCUUCGGUGGGGAAGAAUUCUUCAUACGGCUUGCACAUUCGGAAUUUGGUGAAAAUAUUAUUGCCCUUAAGCUGAAUUUUAAGAAUGGAUAUGAUUUUUUCCUUUUUUUUCUCACACUUCACAACCGUCGUCUUAAUUGUUUUUCUUUCCUUUUAAAAUUUCAGCUGAUGAGAGACUAAAAGAGAAGCUCAUUAUCAGCCUCACAACCAUUUCUUGCAUCAUCAUCUUGGGCAUCUUAGUGUAUGGCAUAUGCCGUAAAAGAUUUAUCAAAAUAGGUAAACCCUCUCUGUCUCUAUCUUAGUAUAUGAGUUUCUGAAAUCUUAUCACCAUAUAGGUUCACUUUUUCUUUUUCUUUCCAAGAUACCUUAAUAUGAUGGCUUGGAUGAGUUAUUUAUUUGAGUUUCGUCCUUAAAUCUCAACAAUCAGGUAAACGAAAGAGAAUUUUCAAACACUUUGACUUGGCAGGGAAUGAAACCUCAAGCGAAAUCUUAACCGGAAAUACAUUGAGAAGCCAUUUAGAACUAGAAGAUCCAUCAGAAUUACCUGUGUUUGACCUGAAUAGCAUAUUAGUCGCCACUGAUAACUUCAGCGUAACAAAUAAACUAGGGCAAGGAGGAUUUGGCCCAGUUUAUAAGGUAAGUAAUCACCCAAACUUGAAAGAAGAAGUGCUUUAUUGUUGUA